GCCCCCGCCGACCUCCGCGUGGCCACCUUGCCAUCCCUGCACCGGAGCUCCAGGAUGAGCGCCACACACUCCCCGCCUGCUGUGGGGGGGCUGAUUCCCUAACUGCCGCAGCUUGCUGAAGAUGGAUAUGGAGCACAAGAAAGAAAUAAUUUCUUCUUGCACUUUAUGAAUCAAUUUUAUUUUUAAAAUAAAAAACUUCAAAAUA
Non-coding RNA from Microcebus murinus (gray mouse lemur), 205 nucleotides. Lineage: Eukaryota; Metazoa; Chordata; Mammalia; Primates; Cheirogaleidae. The record is from RefSeq and is a predicted model, not a curated record.